GACGAACGCUGGCGGCGUGCUUAACACAUGCAAGUCGAACGGAAAGGCCCCUUUGGGGGUACUCGAGUGGCGAACGGGUGAGUAACACGUGAUUAACCUGCCCUUGACUUCGGGAUAACUUCAGGAAACUGGGGCUAAUACCGGAUAGGAAUCCUUGCUGCAUGGUGGGGGUUGGAAAGCUUCGGCGGUUUUGGUUGGACUCGCGGCUUUUCAGCUUGUUCGUGUGGUAGCGGCUUACCAAGGCUUUGACGGGUAGCCGGCCCGAGAGGGCGACCGGCCACAGUGGGACUGGGACUGAGACAAGGCUCCGACGGGUACCAGCGGCAGCGGUUAUGGCACUUUGAGCAUGGGCCAGAUGCAGCUCCGCCGAGGGCGGGAGGACGAUGAACGGGUUGUGAUCCGCUUUCAGUAGUAGCGAAGCUGGUGAUGACAGUACCUGCAGAAGAAGCACCGGCUAACUACGUG
This 465-nucleotide ribosomal RNA is filed under the name uncultured bacterium. RNAcentral's name for it is "partial 16S ribosomal RNA". It matches the Rfam family "Bacterial small subunit ribosomal RNA", at positions 28 to 507 of the family's 1533-position model. The record is from RNAcentral.